UAAGCGCUUGUGCCAUAAUGUUGCAGAAUUUUCUUUAUUUAAUUUGCGUUUAGUACCACGUGAAUCCACAUGCAAGGUCUCAUUAUAUGAUGUAAUAAUAUCAAGCAAAUACAGGUUAUCAUAUGCAGAUAAUGAACCAGUACCAAUAAUAUUGGAAUUUAAAGAAAGACUAAACUGAUUGUUUCCAAAUGAACAACAAUAACCUAAUUUGUCCAACGAAGAA
Molecule: long non-coding RNA, 223 nt
Filed under: Olea europaea (common olive)
Lineage: Eukaryota; Viridiplantae; Streptophyta; Magnoliopsida; Lamiales; Oleaceae
Description: long non-coding RNA (OEUR_LNC013856)
Source: RNAcentral